RNAcentral lists this ribosomal RNA (460 nucleotides) under uncultured bacterium. RNAcentral describes it as "partial 16S ribosomal RNA". It matches the Rfam family "Bacterial small subunit ribosomal RNA", at positions 338 to 795 of the family's 1533-position model. The record is from RNAcentral.
CCUACGGGGUGCUGCAGUGAGGAAUAUUGGUCAAUGGGCGCGAGCCUGAACCAGCCAAGUAGCGUGAAGGAUGACUGCCCUCCGGGUUGUAAACUUCUUUUUUACAGGAAUAAAGUGAGGCACGUGCGCCUUUUUGUAUGUACUUUAUGAAUAAGGCUCGGCUAACUACGUGCCAGCAGCCGCGGUAAUACGGAGGAUCCGCGCGUUAUCCGGAUUUAUUGGGUUUAAAGGGAGCGUAGGUGGGUUGUUAAGUCAGUUGUGAAAGUUUGCGGCUCAACCGUAAAAUUGCAAUUGAUACUGGCAGUCUUGAGUACAGGUGAGGUAGGCGGAAUUCGUGGUGUAGCGGUGAAAUGCGUAGAUAUCACGAAGAACUCCGAUUGCGAAGGCAGCUUACUAGACUGCCACUGACAUUGAGGCUCGAAAGUGUGGGUAUCAAACAGGAUUAGAUACCCGAGUAGUC